UUGAGUUUCGGCAAGUGAGGUCAUAAAAAGUAGCAGGCUUGCCCAGAUCGCUGAUAGGCAGACUUGCCGGCCCACCCUGGAUGGAGGAGGCCCUGUGGACCUCCGGUGGGGCAGAGUACCGACCCAAAGACCCUCCGGCCCCGCAGCCUCCGGCUGUCCGCAGUUCCUCCAGUUAUUACCACUCAGCCAUCCUUUGCAUGCAUGCAACCAGUUUCUAUUUUUGUGUAGGGCAGAGCCUUUCAGGCAAAUGGAAGCGCCUUACCCCUGCCACAAGGUAGGACCACUCCAUGGAAACAAAUGAGCAUUUAUUUCAUCAAAGGCUUCCCGGAGACCAGGCAUCUUACCAAGCUCAGAGGACCCUUAGGAGCUCCUUGGAGGUGGUGGAGGAAGCUAGAUGAGGAGGGGGAGCUCAGUGCCCCGCUUCUGGUUGGAACAGAGCAGAAGUGUGUAUGUUUCAACAGACGAAUGGAUAAACAAAAUGCCGUCUCUCCAUACAAUGGAAUAUUCUUCAGACAUGAAAAGGAAUGAAGUACUGACAUGCUACAACGAGGAGGAACUCCAAAAGCCUCACCCGAAGUGAAAGAAGCCAGGCACAAAAGGUCAUAGAUUUUACGAUCCCAUUGAUAGGAAAUAGCCAGAGUUAAGCAAAUUCAUAGAGCCAGAAACCAGACUGGUUGUUGUCAGGGGCUGGGGGAAGGGGAAAUAUCGGCUUAAUGGGCACAGGAUUUUUUUUUAGGGUGAUGAAAAUGUUUUGGAACUAAAUAGAAGUGGUGGUUUCACAGCAUUGUGAUAUACUAAAUGCCACUGAAUUGCUCACUUUCAAAUGUUUAAUUUUAUAUAAGGUGAAUUUCACCCGAAGUUUUACAAGUGUAAAUGUUUCAUAUAUGGGGUUUCUGCAUAAGACAUUGUUUGAAAAAAGAAUUUGCAGCCCUAAAAAAGAAUGAGUUCAUGUCUUUUGCAGGGACAUGGAUGAAGCUGGAAGCCAUCAUCCUCAGCAAACUAACACAGGAACAGAAAACCAAACACCGCAUGUUCUCACUCAUAAGUGGCAGUUGAACAUUGAGAACACAUGGACACAGAGAGGGGAACAACAUACACCAGGGCCUGUUGGGGGAUGGGGGUGAGAAGCGGGAAGUUGGAGGAUGGGUCAAUAGAUGCAGCAAACCACCAUGGCACACAUAUACCUAUGUAACAAACCUGCACGUUCUGCACAUGUAUCCUGUUUUUUUUUUUAGAAGAAAUAAAUAAAUAAAACGAAUGAGGUCUACUUUUACAUUAAAAAAAAAAAAAGAAUUCCACUACCAGGUUAAAAAAAAUGUUUGGAGGGAUGAGAGACAAGACUGUUUGCCUCUUCCCCCUCAAAAAAACCACAGAAGAAUUUUUCUUUUUCUUUUUCUUUUCUUUGUCUUUUUUUUUUUUUUUUUUUUGAGACAGUUUCACUCUGUCACUCAGGCUGGAUGAAGUGCAGUGGCGCGAUCUCGGCUCACUGAAACCUCUGCCUCUAGGGUUCAAGCGAUUCUCCUGCCUCAGCCUCCCUAGUAGCUGGGACUACAGGCACCCACCACCACGCCAGACUAACUUUUGUAUUUUAAGCAGAGACCGGGUUUUGCCAUGUUGGCCAGGUUGGUCUCCAACUCCUAGGCUCAAGCGAUCCGCCUGCCUCAGCCUCCCAAAGUGCUGGGAUUACAGGCAUAAGCCACUAUGCCUGGCCACAGAAGAAUUUUUCUAAGAAGGAGAAUCUUAUUAGGCAAAAUGUCUUGAAUGAGCCAAUUGGGAAUGGCGGCAAGUCUUCAACAGGCGGCAAAACACAGGGAAAGCCCUGGCAAAGGAAGGAGAAGAACUAGGGGCUACUCCUGAGGACUGGCAGGGAGGGAGGGAGAGAAGAUGGCUCACCAAAACGGCGGCGGCACAGGGGACUUCGCAGGCGACGCAUGUGCAAUCUUCCAUCUGUGUGCGCUGCUGUGAUGUAAAAUCCAAAAAGCACCCUCCAGAAACCACUUUCCAGAAACCACCCUCCAGAAACUGUCAACUCUGCGGCCCACACGAAUGCCUGGGGUGAUUGGGGCUUCUGUGAGAGCGCGAAUGCUCUGAGCAGAGAGGAGAGGCUGCUCUGGUCAGCUCCGGCUGCUGUAACACCACCACAGAUUCGGUGGCUUCAGCAAGUUAUUGUCUCAUCUUCCUGGAGGCUGGACGUUCGAGAUCAAGGUUUUGGCCGGAAUAAUUUAGAUUGUUAGUGCUGGAAGAAACUUGAAGACCACCCUCUCCAAAGCCUCUUUUUACAGAUGAGGAAGCUGAGGCCUAGAGGUUGGAAAUGAUUUACCCAACAUCCCACAGUCUUCCAGUUCCAAGGCUGGAACCAGAACUGGCUUCACACAGGCUUGCCUUCUCUCAUCUCGACCAGGGCCCUACAGGCUCUGAAUUGCUUCUCCAGACCAGACCAGCAAGCUCAGAUCAGAACUGCGUUUUCUGCCAUGGCAUUGCUCCCCAGCCACAGAGGGCUCGGGCAGUCGGGUUCUGUGUCAGUGGAGGACAUGGUCCAAGUUGUGUUUGCUCAUCGAGGGGGAGCUCAGGUUCACCUGACCCAGCAGCUCCCGUGGCUGCUUGACAAACCCAGCGACCUAAGCCCAUUGCUAUUCACAGAUAGCCCAGCCCUCAUCCUAGGGCCAUCAGGAGACCUCAGCUUCUUUCUCCAGUGACUGAAUUCAGUGCUCUAACUCCCUACCUUGCACAGCUGAGCAUGGAGCUACUAAUAGCUCUGUUAUCAUGUUCCCGUUUUAAUACAAACAAACAGCCGUAGCCCAGGAAAGAGAUUUGUUAGAGAGGUUGCUUGCCUUCUGCUCUGGCAGGAGACCUUCACAGCACCAAGCACCUGGCUGCUCUGUGGGGUUUGAGUGAAAUGAUGACUCUUCCUUCACACUCUCCCCUUAGCCUGCUGUUUUCUUCCUUUCCUCCACCUUGGAGGCCACCUAGAAAUUUUGAUGUAGAAAAUUCCAAUCUUGUAGAAUAUCAGGGCUGGGAAAACCUCAGAGAGUCCCUGCUCUCAUGACCCAGUGAUCAGACACAGGACUGACAUAUCCAGCCCUCUGCUCGUGAGAGGCUGGGCCGGUUAUUAGUUACUGCUUGUCAUCUCCAAAUCCCCCACAUUCAGAUGUUGGGGGACUCUGCAAGCCCCAUUUCUGCUUUGCCAACUGCUCUUCAAGAAGCUCUGCCAGGAGGGGCCAGAGGCCAGACACACUCCUUCCGGUCUGUUUCUUGUUUCUAUGAGCAGCACCGUGGCCCACUGCUUCACCCAGGCAGUAGCAGUUCCCUCCCUCAGCAGUGAAAGAACCGAGUUUGCAGUUUUACUGAUUCCUGCAGCACCCCCACAUGGUGCUCCCUCAAGGAUGCCAGCUCCAGCCACCUGGAGCCCCCUCCAUGGAGCUCUGAGGUUCACUUCUGUGGGGCUCCUCCUCUAAUCUUCCAAAUUUUAAUAAUUUCAACUUCUACUCUUUGCUCCCCCAGGCUUAAGGGUGGUAGCUGCUUUCUGAAGUUGCUACCUUCCAUUACACCUGAGAGUUUGCUUUUUGCCUUUCUACUUACAUAGAUAACAAUUCUUCAUAUAUUGAAUUCUAUUAAAAUAACUGGGAGGUUUGGCUGGGAGUGGUGGCUCAUGCUUGUAAUCCUAGCACUUUGGGAGGCCAAGGCAGGCCGAUCACCUGAGGUCAAGAGUUCGAGAUCAGCCUGGCCAACAUGGCGAAACCCCAUCUUUUUUUUUUUUUUUUUUUUUGAGACGGAGUCUUGCUCUGGCACCAGGCUGGAGUGCAGUGGCGUGAUCUCGGCUCACUGCAACCCCCGCCUCCUGGGUUCAAGCGAUUCUCCAGCCUCAGCCUCCUGAGUAGCUGGGAUUACAGGCAUGUGCCACCACACCCAGCUAAUUUUUGUAUUUUUAGUAGAGAUGGGGUUUCACCAUGUUUGCCAGGAUUGUCUCAAUCUCCUGACCUCAUGAUCCACCCGCCUUGGCCUCCCAAAGUGCUGGGAUUACAGGCAUGAGCUACCGUGUCCGGCCAGGGUGAAGCCCCAUCUUUACUAAAAAUACAAAAAUUAGCCAGGCAUGGUGGCGGGUGCCUGUAGUUCCAGAAACUUGGGAGGCGGAAGCGGGAGAAUCAUUUGAACCUGGGAGGUGGAGGUUGCAGGGAGCCAAGAUCUUGCUACUGCACUCCAGCCUAGGUGACAAAGUGAGACUCCAUCUCAAAACAAAAACAAACCAGCAAACAAAAACAAAAAACUGGAAGGUUUUCAUCAACUCUGACUGAUAUGCUGGCAGAGCUGAGAUCCAAACCUAGGUCUUCUUUCUCCUGGUUCAGGACUCUUUGCACUGGAAUCCAAUAAAUAUUUGUUCAAUUAAAGGAAUAGUAAAGUGAGUUCACUCCAUUCAUUGGUUCCAACGUUAAUAAGAUGUUGUUUCAGAUUCCCAUCACCACCACCACCAACAACAAAUUAUCACCUAAUUGCAGCCUAGACUUCCUGCCAUCCAAGUGUCAAGCUCUAUCACAGGCUAUUAGAAUUGAGAGGGACUAUGGCCAGGCACGGCCGCUCAUACCUGUAAUCCCAGCACUUUGGGAGGCCGAGGUGGGCAGAUCACGAGGUGAAGAGAUCAAGAGCAUCCUGGUCACCAUGGUGAAACCCUGUCUCUACUGAAAAUACAAAAAUUAGCUGGGCGUGGUGGCGUGCACCUGUAGUCCCAGCUACUCGGGAGGCUAAGGCAGGAGAAUCGCUUGAACCCGGGAAGUGGAGGUUGCAGUGAGCCGAGAGCCCGCCACUGCACCCCAGCCUGGCAACAGAGCGAGACUCUGUCUUAAAACAAAAAACAAAAACAAACAAACAAACAAAAAACAUAAGAGCAGUGCAGGGCUGCAGAGCUAUCUCCUUUCUCCCCAGUUUGGCUGCACCCUUCCCACUUCCCCAGCCACACUAUGUCCCUCUCCACCUGGCCCUGUGUCACUGUCUACCUGACCCUGCAUCCCUGUCUACCUAGCUCUCUGUCUGCUCCCUCACCCAACUGGGUAAUGGUCAGUGGUGAGGCCCAAGGACUAAUGGGGCUAAUCUAGUUGGACCAUCGUCUUAGAUUGGGCCACAGGCCUUUACCCAAGAGCCAACCUAAAUUUGCCUUGUUCAGAGACUACAGUCAGCAUAUUCCCUUGUUUUCAUGGCUGGUGAGUGGUAGCUGGUAGCAAGCCAACCCACAGCUGAACACCGACACAUGAGGGAUCUCAGCUGAGACCAAGAGAACCACCCAGAAGGACUGCUAAGUCCAUCCCAAGUUGCCAACCCACAGGAUCAAAAGCUAAAUAAAUAAAUUCUUG
This 5342-nucleotide long non-coding RNA is filed under the name Homo sapiens (human). RNAcentral's name for it is "HSALNT0360377". The record is from RNAcentral. Lineage: Eukaryota; Metazoa; Chordata; Mammalia; Primates; Hominidae.